CCUACGGGUGGCAGCAGUGGGGAAUAUUGGGCAAUGGAGGCAACUCUUACCCAGCAAUGCCGCGUGAAUGAAGAAGGUCUUCGGAUUGUAAAGUUCUUUAAUUGGGGACGAAAAAAAUGACGGUACCCAAGUAAUAAGCCCCGGCUAACUACGUGCCAGCAGCCGCGGUAAUACGUAGGGGGCAAGCGUGGUUCGGAAGGACGGGGCGUAAAGGGUGUGUAGGCGGUGUAGCAAGUUAGAAGUGAAAUACCUAGGGCUUAACUCAGGUGCUGCUACUAAAACUGCUAUACUUGAGUGCAGUAGAGGAAAGUGGAAUUCCUAGUGUAGCGGUGGAAUGCGUAGAGAUUAGGAGGAACAUCAGUGGCGAAGGCGACUUUCUGGACUGUAACUGACGCUGAGGCACGAAAGUGUGGGGAGCAAACAGGAUUAGAUACCCUAGUAGUC
Molecule: ribosomal RNA, 444 nt
Filed under: uncultured bacterium
Lineage: Bacteria
Description: partial 16S ribosomal RNA
Rfam family: Bacterial small subunit ribosomal RNA
Source: RNAcentral